RNAcentral lists this long non-coding RNA (1449 nucleotides) under Ananas comosus (pineapple). Its description in RNAcentral is "long non-coding RNA (ACOM_LNC005366)". The record is from RNAcentral. Lineage: Eukaryota; Viridiplantae; Streptophyta; Magnoliopsida; Poales; Bromeliaceae.
ACGGACAGAGUUUCCCCUAUCCGCCCAAGGCUCAUCACAUGUACAAAUUCAAACAAGAAAUGCACUAGCGGAAACAUACAUAAACGGCUUACACGAGGGUAAGCAAUAGCCAUUAGUGAAAGAACGAAAAAUUAAACAUCUACACAAGUAAUAUGAUUCAUUUUAGAUCAUAUACAUUGCAUCCAUUCCUUAUAUUUAGUAUUCUUUGCAUUUCAUUACAUCAUUUCAUCAUCUCUUUCUUACAUCACAUUUACCUCAAAAUACACAUCACAUUCUUUUCUUUACAUUACUAAUCAUCAUGUACAAAAGAUGAACAUAAGGUACUUUACUACAGAAUGAAACCCGACUUUGGUGGCCUCUGACUAAGGCGCGAUACCUUUACCUCGGUCACUCGCCGGCUCGCUCGGUCCCGGCUCUGUGGAAAUAGUGGGGUGAGAACUACAACAAAGUUCCCAGUGGGUUCGGCCUCAACAUCACCGACUUUCCCACUAGGACUAACUCAGGCAUAAUAGAAAGAAUAAGCUGUAUAGUAACCAAUCUAUAACAUGAUGCUAAUAUGCCUGAACAAUAAGCAAGAAGUAUGCUCAACAUUAAAUAAAUGCAGAUUAUGCAAACUCAUUCGUUCUUUGACUUUACUUUGUACUUUGUUCUUUAUUCUUUGCUCUUUGUUCUUUGUUCUUUAAUCUCAAGGCUAACCCGGAGGUUUCGCCACAUUAACUUGCUUCACAUUAAGUCCAUCAUCGCAGGAACUCACCAGCUAGGACCGUCCUUCGGGUUUACUCCAACCCGUGAUGCAUAACUCCGGAGCGCAUCGCCCGAGGGGGAGCGACCGCCCUCGAGCACGGAACUCAUAGCAAGUAUGAUCAUAUCCUUAACUCAAAGGAUUUAUAAGUUCAAUCUUGACUUUACACUAGCUCUAGUGUUCUUUACAUCACUUUAUGUUGCAAACUCAUGCAAUUACAUUCUUUACAUUUCUUUACUCUUGCUAACUCUAGCAUUCUUGUUCGUUACAAUACUUGUUCUUAUUGCCCCACUUUACUUUACUUUACACAUUGUCAUUUUCAUCAUUCUUUUCAUCACUUUGGUUCUUUGCAUCACACUAACUCUAGUGUCUCUUUACUUUACAUUUUCAAAUGCCACUCGAUCUAUGUCAUAGUGUCACUCUGUUCUUUUGCUCACUUUGGGUGCUCACUUUUCUCUAAUGCAUACACUUAGGGUUUUGACAUUUAUUUGGUUCUCUACCAUCAUUAUAAGCAAGUUGUACUCACAAUCAUGCUAUCAUCACAUUCUUAUCAUUACUUUACCCUAAUAUGCAUGCAACAAUAUAUAUUACACAUGCUCAAAUGAAUGACACAUUAGGCAUAGAGAGAAGUUCAAUGAGUUUGAGAAGCACCACCCACCUCGUAGGCUUUCAAAGGUGCUCCGAUGAUUUUCUUGGGAUUUUUAGAU